Non-coding RNA from Aspergillus heteromorphus CBS 117.55, 80 nucleotides. NCBI's taxonomy places the organism in Eukaryota, Fungi, Ascomycota, Eurotiomycetes, Eurotiales, Aspergillaceae. The record is from the annotation of a RefSeq genome assembly.
GCCCUUAUAGCUCAGUGGUAGAGCGCUUCACUCGUAUCACCGAUAUGAAGAGGUCCGCGGUUCAAUCCCGCGUGUGGGCA